UACAGAGGGGGCAAGCGUUGUUCGGAAUUACUGGGCGUAAAGGGCGCGUAGGCGGCCUGCUAAGUCGAACGUGAAAUCCCUGGGCUCAACCCAGGAACUGCGUCCGAUACUGGUUGGCUUGAAUCCGGGAGAGGGAUGUGGAAUUCCAGGUGUAGCGGUGAAAUGCGUAGAUAUCUGGAGGAACACCGGUGGCGAAGGCGGGUAGCUGGGCCGACACUGACGCUGAGGCGCGAAAGCCAGGGGAGCGAACGGG
This 253-nucleotide ribosomal RNA is filed under the name uncultured bacterium. RNAcentral's name for it is "partial 16S ribosomal RNA". It matches the Rfam family "Bacterial small subunit ribosomal RNA", at positions 524 to 776 of the family's 1533-position model. The record is from RNAcentral.